UACGGAGGGUGCGAGCGUUAUCCGGAAUUACUGGGUUUAAAGGGUGCGUAGGCGGCUAUGUAAGUCAGGAGUGAAAGUUUGCGGCUCAACCGUAAAAUUGCUUUUGAUACUGCAUGGCUCGAAUUAGGAUGAGGUCAGCGGAAUGUGGCAUGUAGCGGUGAAAUGCAUAGAUAUGCCAUAGAACACCAAUUGCGAAGGCAGCUGGCUAGACCUGGAUUGACGCUGAGGCACGAAAGCGUGGGGAGCGAACAGG
RNAcentral lists this ribosomal RNA (253 nucleotides) under uncultured bacterium. Its description in RNAcentral is "partial 16S ribosomal RNA". It matches the Rfam family "Bacterial small subunit ribosomal RNA", at positions 524 to 776 of the family's 1533-position model. The record is from RNAcentral.